This 496-nucleotide ribosomal RNA is filed under the name uncultured bacterium. RNAcentral's name for it is "partial 16S ribosomal RNA". It matches the Rfam family "Bacterial small subunit ribosomal RNA", at positions 29 to 507 of the family's 1533-position model. The record is from RNAcentral.
AUGAACGCUGGCGGCGUGCCUAAUACAUGCAAGUCGAGCGAACAGAUAAGGAGCUUGCUCCUUUGACGUUAGCGGCGGACGGGUGAGUAACACGUGGGUAACCUACCUAUAAGACUGGAAUAACUCCGGGAAACCGGGGCUAAUGCAGGAUAACAUGUUGAACCGCAUGGUUCUACAGUGAAAGGCGGCUUUGCUGUCACUUAUAGAUGGACCCGCGCCGUAUUAGCUAGUUGGUGAGGUAACGGCUCACCAAGGCAACGAUACGUAGCCGGCCUGAGAGGGUGAUCGGCCACACUGGAACUGAGACACGGUCCAGACUCCUACGGGAGGCAGCAGUAGGGAAUCUUCCGCAAUGGGCGAAAGCCUGACGGAGCAACGCCGCGUGAGUGAUGAAGGUCUUCGGAUCGUAAAACUCUGUUAUUAGGGAAGAACAAAUGCGUAAGUAACUGUGCGCGUCUUGACGGUACCUAAUCAGAAAGCCACGGCUAACUACGUG